UUAAACAUUUUUAAAGCUAAUGUUGUAAUGUGUAGUUUAAAAGAAAUAAUUUGCAGUUCUUUAUAUAGUUAAUCAAUUCUUGGCCACAAGUGUUCUGGCCACGAGAGCCACAGAUCAUUUUGUAUGAUCGUCACUUUCUAUACAUAAGCUGCUUUUUAUACCACUUCCUGUGCAGGCAGUUUUUAUUCUGAUUUGAAGUACACAGUGGAAAGACAUUCAUCUCCAUCUGCUCUUUGUUUGCCACUGAAACAGCAAUAUCUGCUUUCUUAUUUUUACGAGGCUGAGUUGCUAGCUCGACAGUCAACGCAGCACGGAUGGAAAGCGUGCAAGGGAGCCGGCUGGAUUCGAAUUUGGGAGCCUUCGCUCUGAAGUCCGGCGCUGAUGCCACUUACACCACCAGCCGGCAAUUACAGGAUGUCUGCGAAGAAUAAGAAUUUCAGGUUGUAUACUUUAUGCAAUCUCUAUUAUUAAAAUGAACCAUUUGAAC
Molecule: long non-coding RNA, 487 nt
Organism: Mobula hypostoma (lesser devil ray)
Lineage: Eukaryota; Metazoa; Chordata; Chondrichthyes; Myliobatiformes; Myliobatidae
Exons: 3
Source: RefSeq, a predicted model, not a curated record